CGAGGUGAAACCUAAUUGGCCUGAAGAAGAGCUUGCGUCUGAUUAGCUAGUUGGUGGGGUAAAGGCCUACCAAGGCGACGAUCAGUAGCUGGUCUGAGAGGAUGAGCAGCCACACUGGGACUGAGACACGGCCCAGACUCCUACGGGAGGCAGCAGUGGGGAAUUUUCCGCAAUGGGCGAAAGCCUGACGGAGCAACGCCGCGUGAGGGAGGAAGGUCUUUGGAUUGUAAACCUCUUUUCUCAAGGAAGAAGUUCUGACGGUACUUGAGGAAUCAGCCUCGGCUAACUCCGUGCCAGCAGCCGCGGUAAUACGGGGGAGGCAAGCGUUAUCCGGAAUUAUUGGGCGUAAAGCGUCCGCAGGUGGUCAGCCAAGUCUGCC
RNAcentral lists this ribosomal RNA (379 nucleotides) under uncultured Microcystis sp. RNAcentral describes it as "bacterial SSU rRNA". It matches the Rfam family "Bacterial small subunit ribosomal RNA", at positions 196 to 593 of the family's 1533-position model. The record is from RNAcentral. Lineage: Bacteria; Bacillati; Cyanobacteriota; Cyanophyceae; Chroococcales; Microcystaceae.